Molecule: ribosomal RNA, 253 nt
Filed under: uncultured bacterium
Lineage: Bacteria
Also listed under: 1 other name
Description: partial 16S ribosomal RNA
Rfam family: Bacterial small subunit ribosomal RNA
Source: RNAcentral
UACGUAGGGGACAAGCGUUGUCCGGAAUCACUGGGCGUAAAGGGCGCGCAGGCGGUGAUUUAAGCAGGAUGUGAAAGGCUACGGCUCAACCGUAGACAUGCACCCUGAACUGGGUCACUUGAGUAUUGGAGAGGCAGGCAGAAUUCCUGGUGUAGCGGUGAAAUGCGUAGAUAUCAGGAGGAAUACCGGAGGCGAAGGCGGCCUGCUGGACAAAUACUGACGCUGAGGCGCGAAAGCGUGGGGAGCAAACAGG